AAGGAACGCUGGGGCAAGGCCUACCACAUGCAAGUCGAGCGCGCCUUCGGGUGAGCGGCGGACGGGGUUAGUAACGCGUGGGAACGUGCCCUUCUCUACGGAAUAGCUUCUGGAAACGGAGAGUAAUACCGUAUACGCCCUUUGGGGGAAAGAUUUAUCGGAGAAGGAUCGGCCCGCGUUAGAUUAGGUAGUUGGUGGGGUAACGGCCUACCAAGCCUACGAUCUAUAGCUGGUUUUAGAGGAUGAUCAGCAACACUGGGACUGAGACACGGCCCAGACUCCUACGGGAGGCAGCAGUGGGGAAUCUUAGACAAUGGGGGCAACCCUGAUCUAGCCAUGCCGCGUGAGUGAUGAAGGCCUUAGGGUCGUAAAGCUCUUUCGCCUGUGAUGAUAAUGACAGUAGCAGGUAAAGAAACCCCGGCUAACUCCGUGCCAGCA
RNAcentral lists this ribosomal RNA (438 nucleotides) under uncultured bacterium. Its description in RNAcentral is "bacterial SSU rRNA". It matches the Rfam family "Bacterial small subunit ribosomal RNA", at positions 31 to 513 of the family's 1533-position model. The record is from RNAcentral.